CAGGCCUAACACAUGCAAGUCGAACGAGACCUUCGGGUCUAGUGGCGCACGGGUGCGUAACGCGUGGGAAUCUGCCCUUGGGUUCGGAAUAACAGCGAGAAAUUGCUGCUAAUACCGGAUAAUGACGUAAGUCCAAAGAUUUAUCGCCCAGGGAUGAGCCCGCGUAGGAUUAGCUAGUUGGUGAGGUAAUGGCUCACCAAGGCGACGAUCAGUAGCUGGUCUGAGAGGAUGAUCAGCCACACUGGGACUGAGACACGGCCCAGACUCCUACGGGAGGCAGCAGUGGGGAAUAUUGGACAAUGGGCGAAAGCCUGAUCCAGCCAUGCCGCGUGAGUGAUGAAGGCCUUAGGGUUGUAAAGCUCUUUCGACGGGGACGAUAAUGACGGUAUCCGUAGAAGAAGCCCCGGCUAACUUCGUGCCAGCAGCCGCGGUAAU
RNAcentral lists this ribosomal RNA (435 nucleotides) under uncultured bacterium. RNAcentral's name for it is "bacterial SSU rRNA". It matches the Rfam family "Bacterial small subunit ribosomal RNA", at positions 43 to 524 of the family's 1533-position model. The record is from RNAcentral.